Molecule: long non-coding RNA, 149 nt
Organism: Salarias fasciatus (jewelled blenny)
Lineage: Eukaryota; Metazoa; Chordata; Actinopteri; Blenniiformes; Blenniidae
Exons: 3
Source: RefSeq, a predicted model, not a curated record
CGGUGUCCGACACUGCCGCGGAAGGCGGGUCGGUUUCGGAGGGGGUCGGGUCAGUGGUCGGCGGCCACCGGCGCCGACUCUGGACACGCGCCGGGCCCUUCUCGCGGAUCUCCCCAGCGGCGGACCGCCGCGGGCCCGGUCGAGGCGGG